UAAGCCAUGCACGUGUAAGUACACACCUUCUUAAAGUGAAACGGCGAAUGGCUCAUUAAAUCAUACGUGAUUUCUUAGAUCGUUACAUCCCUUCGGGGAUGAGUGGAUAACUGUGGCAAUUCUAGAGCUAAUACAUGCAAUUAAGCUCCGACCUUUGGGGACGAGCGCACUUAUUAGACCAAGAUCAACCUGUGGGGCAACCUGCGGCUGACUGUGGUGACUCUGGAUAAGCCUAGUUGUUCGCAUGACCUCGUGUCGGCGACGUAUCUUACAAGCGUAUGCCCUAUCAGCUGUCGACGGUAGGGUAGCGGCCUACCGUGGCUGUUACGGGUAACGGGGGAUCAGGGUCCGAUCCCGGAGAGUAUGCCUGAGAGACGGCUUACACAUCUAAGGAAGGCAGCAGGCGCGCAAAUUACCCAAUGGGGAAACCCUGAGGUAGUGACAAGAAAUAACAAUACACGACUCUUUCGAGGCCGUGUAAUUGGAAUGAGCACAUUCUAAAUCCUUUAGCGAGGAUCAAUUGGAGGGCAAGUCUGGUGCCAGCAGCCGCGGUAAUUCCAGCUCCAAUAGCGUAUAUUAAAGUUGUUGCAGUUAAAAAGCUCGUAGUUGACAAUCGGCGUUCGGCUCGGCGGUACUGCUCACGCAGGCACUGCCUUGACGGCGCCUUACACAUGUGGUUUUUGGCUUCCGCUCCUUGGAAACAGGGACGGUCUGUCAUCGCCUCGGUUGCCCUUCAAUGGGUGAUCCAUGGCGGCCCAUGCGUUUACUUUGAAGAAAUUAGAGUGUUCAAAGCGGGCUAUUUAUAGCUCGAAUAAUCGUACAUGGAAUAAUGGAACAGGACGCAAGUUCAUUUCUGUUGGUCUAUGCUCAUUGCGUAAUGAUUAAAAGGGACUGCCGGGGGCAUUGGUAUGGCAGGGGUAGAGGUGAAAUUCUGUGAUCCUUGCCAGACCUCCUACAGCGAAAGCAUUUGCCAAGAAUGUCUUCAUUAAUCAAGAACGAAAGUCAGAGGUUCGAAGACGAUCAGAUACCGUCGUAGUUCUGACCAUAAACGAUGCCAGCUUGGAAGUGGACGAGAAGCAUAAUUGUCUUGUCCACACCCUGUCGGGAAACCAUAAGCGUUUGGGUUCCGGGGGAAGUAUGGUUGCAAAGCUGAAACUUAAAGGAAUUGACGGAAGGGCACCACCAGGAGUGGAGCCUGCGGCUUAAUUUGACUCAACACGGGAAAACUCACCCGGCCCGGACACUGUAAGGAUUGACAGAUUGAGAGCUCUUUCUCGAUUCGGUGGAUGGUGGUGCAUGGCCGUUCUUAGUUGGUGGAGUGAUUUGUCUGGUUAAUUCCGAUAACGAACGAGACUCUAGCCUACUAACUAGUGUGGCGGUUUUUACAGCCGUUAUACACUUCUUAGAGGGACAGGUGGCGCUUAGCCACACGAGAUGGAGCAAUAACAGGUCUGUGAUGCCCUUAGAUGUCCGGGGCCGCACGCGCGCUACACUGAAAGGUGCAAUGGGUGUAUCUGUCCUAAGCCGAUAGGCUGGGGCAAUCCGCCUAAACCCUUUCGUGCUAGGGAUUGGGGCUUGUAAUUCUUCCCCAUGAACGAGGAAUUCCCAGUAAGCGCGAGUCAUCAGCUCGCGUUGAUUACGUCCCUGCCCUUUGUACACACCGCCCGUCGCUACUACCGAUUGGAUGGCUUAGUGAGACCUUUGGACUGGACCGCCCAUGGAGGACUCGUUCUCCUCGGGUGUGGCCGGGAAGAAGUUCGAACUA
Molecule: ribosomal RNA, 1765 nt
Filed under: Ficopomatus uschakovi
Lineage: Eukaryota; Metazoa; Annelida; Polychaeta; Sabellida; Serpulidae
Description: SSU rRNA
Rfam family: Eukaryotic small subunit ribosomal RNA
Source: RNAcentral